This 250-nucleotide ribosomal RNA is filed under the name uncultured bacterium. RNAcentral describes it as "partial 16S ribosomal RNA". It matches the Rfam family "Bacterial small subunit ribosomal RNA", at positions 15 to 264 of the family's 1533-position model. The record is from RNAcentral.
GAUCAUGGCUCAGGAUAAACGCUGGCGGCGUGCUUAACACAUGCAAGUCGAACGAAGUUUUUCUUUCGGGAGGAACUUAGUGGCGGACGGGUGAGUAACGCGUGGGUAACCUGCCCUGUACAGGGGGACAACAGCUGGAAACGGCUGCUAAUACCGCAUAAGCCCUUAGCACUGCAUGGUGCAUAUGGAAAAGGAGCAAUCCGGUACAGGAUGGACCCGCGUCUGAUUAGCCAGUUGGCAGGGUAACCGG